GACGAACGCUGGCGGCGCGCCUAACACAUGCAAGUCGAACGGUUAAAGCACCUUUUAGGUGUGUAUAAAGUGGCGAACGGCUGAGUAACACGUGGGCAACCUGCCCUCCUCUUGGGGAUAGCCUCGGGAAACCGAGGAUAAUACCCGAUACUUCAAUGUGGCCGCAUGACGACAUUGAGAAAGCUUUUGCGGAGAAGGAUGGGCCCGCGGCCUGUUAGCUUGUUGGUGGGGUAGAGGCCUACCAAGGCAAUGAUGGGUAGCUGGGUUGAGAGACCGACCAGCCAGAUUGGGACUGAGACACAGCCCAGACUCCUACGGGAGGCAGCAGUGGGGAAUCUUGCACAAUGGGCGAAAGCCUGAUGCAGCGACGCCGCGUGCGGGAAGAAGGCCUUCGGGUUGUAAACCGCUUUCAGCAGGGACGAGGCGAAAGUGACGGUACCUGCAGAAGAAGCCCCGGCUAACUACGUGCCAGCAGCCGCGGUAAUACGUAGGGGGCAAGCGUUAUCCGGAUUCAUUGGGCGUAAAGCGCUCGUAGGCGGUCUGUUAGGUCGGGAGUUAAAUCCGGAGGCUCAACCUCCGCCCGCUCCCGAUACCGGCAGACUUGAGUUUGGUAGGGGAAGGUGGAAUUCCUAGUGUAGCGGUGGAAUGCGCAGAUAUUAGGAAGAACACCAGUGGCGAAGGCGGCCUUCUGGGCCAUAACUGACGCUGAGGAGCGAAAGCUAGGGGAGCAAACAGG
This 736-nucleotide ribosomal RNA is filed under the name uncultured Atopobium sp. Its description in RNAcentral is "bacterial SSU rRNA". It matches the Rfam family "Bacterial small subunit ribosomal RNA", at positions 28 to 776 of the family's 1533-position model. Lineage: Bacteria; Bacillati; Actinomycetota; Coriobacteriia; Coriobacteriales; Atopobiaceae. The record is from RNAcentral.